Molecule: ribosomal RNA, 253 nt
Filed under: uncultured bacterium
Lineage: Bacteria
Description: partial 16S ribosomal RNA
Rfam family: Bacterial small subunit ribosomal RNA
Source: RNAcentral
GACGGGGGAUGCAAGUGUUAUCCGGAAUCACUGGGCGUAAAGCGUCUGCAGGUGGUUUCCUAAGUCCACUGUUAAACCUUGAGGCUCAACCUCAAAUCUGCAUUGGAAACUAGGAGACUUGAGUAUAGUAGGGGUAGAGGGAAUUUCCAGUGGAGCGGUGAAAUGCGUAGAUAUUGGGAAGAACACCGGUGGCGAAGGCGGCGAGCUGGUCCAUUACUGACGCUGAGGCGCGACAGCGUGGGGAGCAAACAGG